RNAcentral lists this ribosomal RNA (465 nucleotides) under uncultured bacterium. RNAcentral describes it as "partial 16S ribosomal RNA". It matches the Rfam family "Bacterial small subunit ribosomal RNA", at positions 28 to 507 of the family's 1533-position model. The record is from RNAcentral.
GACGAACGCUGGCGGCGUGCUUAACACAUGCAAGUCGAACGGAAAGGCCCUGCUUGCAGGGUACUCGAGUGGCGAACGGGUGAGUAACACGUGGGUGAUCUGUCCUGCACUUCGGGAUAAGCCUGGGAAACUGGGUCUAAUACCGGAUAGGAGCCAUUUUUAGUGUGAUGGUUGGAAAGUUUUUUCGGUGUAGGAUGAGCUCGCGGCCUAUCAGCUUGUUGGUGGGGUAAUGGCCUACCAAGGCGGCGACGGGUAGCCGGCCUGAGAGGGUGGACGGCCACAUUGGGACUGAGAUACGGCCCAGACUCCUACGGGAGGCAGCAGUGGGGAAUAUUGCACAAUGGGCGCAAGCCUGAUGCAGCGACGCCGCGUGGGGGAUGACGGCCUUCGGGUUGUAAACUCCUUUCGCUAGGGACGAAGCUUUUUGUGACGGUACCUAGAUAAGAAGCACCGGCUAACUACGUG